AGUGAACGCUGGCGGUAUGCCUAACACAUGCAAGUCGAACGGCAGCACAGUAAGAGCUUGCUCUUACGGGUGGCGAGUGGCGGACGGGUGAGGUAUACAUCGGAAUCUACUUUUUCGUGGGGGAUAACGUAGGGAAACUUACGCUAAUACCGCAUACGACCUACGGGUGAAAGCAGGGGAUCUUCGGACCUUGCGCGAUUGAAUGAGCCGAUGUCGGAUUAGCUAGUUGGCGGGGUAAAGGCCCACCAAGGCGACGAUCCGUAGCUGGUCUGAGAGGAUGAUCAGCCACACUGGAACUGAGACACGGUCCAGACUCCUACGGGAGGCAGCAGUGGGGAAUAUUGGACAAUGGGCGCAAGCCUGAUCCAGCCAUACCGCGUGGGUGAAGAAGGCCUUCGGGUUGUAAAGCCCUUUUGUUGGGAAAGAAAAGCAGCAGGUUAAUACCCCGCUGUUCUGACGGUACCCAAAGAAUAAGCACCGGCUAACUACGUG
This 492-nucleotide ribosomal RNA is filed under the name uncultured bacterium. Its description in RNAcentral is "partial 16S ribosomal RNA". It matches the Rfam family "Bacterial small subunit ribosomal RNA", at positions 29 to 507 of the family's 1533-position model. The record is from RNAcentral.